This 469-nucleotide ribosomal RNA is filed under the name uncultured organism. RNAcentral's name for it is "partial 16S ribosomal RNA". It matches the Rfam family "Bacterial small subunit ribosomal RNA", at positions 331 to 797 of the family's 1533-position model. The record is from RNAcentral.
GUACACUCCUGCGGGAGGCAGCAGUGAGGAAUAUUGGACAAUGGGUGGAAGCCUGAUCCAGCCAUCCCGCGUGCAGGAAGACGGCCCUAUGGGUUGUAAACUGCUUUUAUCUGGGGAUAAACCUACUUACGUGUAAGUAGCUGAAGGUACCAGAAGAAUAAGCACCGGCUAACUCCGUGCCAGCAGCCGCGGUAAUACGGAGGGUGCAAGCGUUAUCCGGAUUUAUUGGGUUUAAAGGGUCCGUAGGCGGACUGAUAAGUCAGUGGUGAAAUCCGACAGCUUAACUGUCGAACUGCCAUUGAUACUGUUAGUCUUGAGUAAGGUUGAAGUGGCUGGAAUAAGUAGUGUAGCGGUGAAAUGCAUAGAUAUUACUUAGAACACCAAUUGCGAAGGCAGGUCACUAAGUCUUAACUGACGCUGAUGGACGAAAGCGUGGGGAGCGAACAGGAUUAGAAACCCCAGUAGUCCC